Long non-coding RNA from Oenanthe melanoleuca, 1173 nucleotides. RefSeq lists it as uncharacterized. The record is from RefSeq and is a predicted model, not a curated record. Lineage: Eukaryota; Metazoa; Chordata; Aves; Passeriformes; Muscicapidae. The transcript is spliced from 3 exons.
AUUUUGGUUCCUAUGUCUUUGACAGAUGUAUUGGCUUCAAGUUAUUUUGCAGAUUCUGUGGUCCUGAUCCCACAGGUGUUUUGAGGCAGGUGGAACCUCCUGGCUCCAGGCAGGUUUUCUGUGUAUGGAAGCACGUGCUUUUUGAUUUAAAUAUCCUUCCUUGCAGGCAGGUAUGUUGAAAUCAGCAGGGCUCUGCACAGCCCCAUGUCUUUUCCUGGGCACAAAGAACUGGAGACUCAGAGCUGCUUGUCAGGAUUUUUUUUAAAUUUUCACUGCAGUUGCGAGUUCCUUGUCCUCUCUGUGUGGUCUAGUGCAAUGCAGUAGGGUGAGGUAACCUUGGUGAAGGACAAACACCCAUCCAGUCUCUCUCUCACUCCACUUCCUCAGCAGGGCAGCAAGAAAAAAAAAAAAAUUAGGAUGAGAAAGCUGAUGGGUCAAGCUAAAGACAGGGAGACCACUUAGGAGUUAGUAUUGCAAGGAAAAGAAACUUUAACAGAUGCAUUACUAGGAUUACUAUUUAUUUCUAAUUUAAAUAGAUUUGUUAAAAAAUAAAAUAAAGAUAAAUAUUACUACAACACCUGUCCUUCCGUAUUUCCCAAGGUCAUCUUUGUUUCUUUAUUUCUCUACCUCCUGCACAAGGAGGUAUAUCAGGUCCUGAAAAUUUUCCUUUGAGAAUUAUUCCCAAGAAGAGCCCUGCUUUUUCUGAAGUAAAUCACAGAACACCCUCAGUAUCCUCUUGCAAAUUUUCCACUCUUCCAUGUCUUCUGGAUAUUCAAGAAUGACAAAUCUGCAGGAAAAGAAGAAAGAGAAAUUAAAAGGAUUUUUUUAAAAGGAGAGGCUUUAAAAACUGGACCCACUGACUUCAAUGGGAUUGCAGUGCUGUGCUGGUUUGGGAUUUAAAUCACAAUCUCCCUGAAAGCAAAGGGAAUAUAUUGAUUUAACCAACUGAAGAUCUGGCCUCACAUGCACACAACUGAAUGCCAGUGGGAUGAUAAGGUUACUUCUGUGGGAGAUUAAAGGUGCCAGUUACACAGCAGUGGUAAGAGGUACUGAAACACAAACAGGCCACACAGAAAGACUCUGAUUUCCCAGAGAAAAACCUCUUAUUUUCUAAGAUUAUAACAACUGCAAAGGAGGAUUUUGGAGUGCUUAUAUUCAUGGGGUUUUCUUUUU